UCUGGGGUGGUUCAGUGAUAGAAUUCUCACCUUCCAUGCGGGAGACCCGGGUUCGAUUCCCAGCCAAAGUA
RNAcentral lists this transfer RNA (71 nucleotides) under Loxodonta africana (African savanna elephant). It matches the Rfam family "tRNA". From Rfam's summary of the family: Transfer RNA (tRNA) molecules are approximately 80 nucleotides in length. Their secondary structure includes four short double-helical elements and three loops (D, anti-codon, and T loops). Lineage: Eukaryota; Metazoa; Chordata; Mammalia; Proboscidea; Elephantidae. The record is from Rfam by way of RNAcentral.